This 440-nucleotide ribosomal RNA is filed under the name uncultured bacterium. RNAcentral's name for it is "partial 16S ribosomal RNA". It matches the Rfam family "Bacterial small subunit ribosomal RNA", at positions 338 to 795 of the family's 1533-position model. The record is from RNAcentral.
CCUACGGGGGGCUGCAGUGGGGAAUAUUGGACAAUGGGCGAAAGCCUGAUCCAGCCAUGCCGCGUGAGUGAUGAAGGCCUUAGGGUUGUAAAGCUCUUUUGUCGGGGACGAUAAUGACGGUACCCGAAGAAUAAGCUCCGGCUAACUUCGUGCCAGCAGCCGCGGUAAUACGAAGGGAGCUAGCGUUGUUCGGAAUCACUGGGCGUAAAGCGCACGUAGGCGGAUUUGUUAGUCAGGGGUGAAAUCCCGGGGCUCAACCUCGGAACUGCCUUUGAUACUGCAAAUCUAGAGUCCGAUAGAGGUGGGUGGAAUUCCUAGUGUAGAGGUGAAAUUCGUAGAUAUUAGGAAGAACACCGGUGGCGAAGGCGGCCCACUGGAUCGGUACUGACGCUGAGGUGCGAAAGCGUGGGGAGCAAACAGGAUUAGAUACCCUAGUAGUC